GGAGACCCCCAGCAUAUUGGAGAUGUCAGGAUCGUGGGGCAUUUGCCAGAGCAGAGAGCAGAUCAAGACAAGCAGAGUGAGGAGCUGGGGAAUGGAGCUGCCAGGGCCCUUUCGAAGCCCAGAGGAUCGGGAGUGGAUCUCAGGAGCCCACAGUUCACAGAGACUUGGGAUGUUUAAAAAAAAGAAAUGGAUAUGUUACAGAGACGAAGCUUUAAAAAUCUUGAAAAUUGCAAAGACUGUGGGACUUAACAAAAAAAACCAAAAAACAAAAAACAUAAAACAAAAAACACUGUACAGUUGGGUUAGGUGCGGUGGCUCGCGUCUUUAGACCCAGAGUGCAGGAGGCAGAAUAGAUGAGUCUCUUUGUGUUCUGGGCCAGCUAGGGCUCCAUAGUGAGACCAUCUCAAAAAUAACAGCCAGCCAUGGGUAUACCCGCCUUUCAUCCCUGCACUUGAAAAGCAGAGGCAGGCAGACCUCUAUGGGUUUAAGAUGGCUGGAUUAGCCUACAUAGUGAGUUGUGGGAGAGCAGAGCUUCAUACAUGGAUGGACCCUUUUGAAAUAAUAAAACAAACAAACAAACAAAAAACAACAAUG
This 594-nucleotide long non-coding RNA is filed under the name Rattus norvegicus (Norway rat). Its description in RNAcentral is "long non-coding RNA NONRATT023597". The record is from RNAcentral. Lineage: Eukaryota; Metazoa; Chordata; Mammalia; Rodentia; Muridae.